Molecule: non-coding RNA, 135 nt
Organism: Triticum urartu
Lineage: Eukaryota; Viridiplantae; Streptophyta; Magnoliopsida; Poales; Poaceae
Source: Rfam
AAAGUACUUUCUUCGUCCGAAAAUAUUUGUCAUUAAAAUGGAUAAAAAGCAAUGUAUCUAGAAUUAAAAUACAUCUAGAUACAUUUCCUUUUAUCUAGUUUGAUGACAAGUAUUUCCGGACGAAAGGAGUACAAA